UACGAAGGGGGCGAGCGUUGUUCGGAUUUACUGGGCGUAAAGGGCGCGUAGGCGGCGCGAGGAGUCGAGUGUGAAAGCCCCGGGCUCAACCUGGGAAUUGCGCUCGAUACUCUUGUGCUAGAGUUCGGGAGAGGAGCGUGGAAUUCCCAGUGUAGAGGUGAAAUUCGUAGAUAUUGGGAAGAACACCGGUGGCGAAGGCGGCGCUCUGGACCGAAACUGACGCUGAGGCGCGAAAGCGUGGGGAG
RNAcentral lists this ribosomal RNA (245 nucleotides) under uncultured bacterium. Its description in RNAcentral is "partial 16S ribosomal RNA". It matches the Rfam family "Bacterial small subunit ribosomal RNA", at positions 524 to 768 of the family's 1533-position model. The record is from RNAcentral.